CUGAUCCAAGGGCCACGCCUGUCUGAGGGUCG
This 32-nucleotide ribosomal RNA is filed under the name Philaenus spumarius (meadow spittlebug). Its description in RNAcentral is "partial 5.8S ribosomal RNA". The record is from RNAcentral. Lineage: Eukaryota; Metazoa; Arthropoda; Insecta; Hemiptera; Aphrophoridae.